UUUGAGGACAGCACUCAGCCACAGAUUCAAAUAGCUGCGGCUGAGUGUUCUUGUGUGGCUGGAACUGCUCUCUGCAAUCACAGUGUUGCACUGCUGUACCAGAGCACGAAAUACUCGGCAUUGCAACUGAAAGCAGUUCCGCCAGUCCUCAGCUGCACUGAAACUGAGCAGCAGUGGCAUAAGCCCCGAAAACUGGGUGUGAAACCUGGCAGAGUGAGUAAUAUGGUAUUUGUCUCAACCAAACCAAAGUCGAGACAGUACACAGCUGCUGAUGGUGUGAGGAGCAAGCGCUACAAAGCAGUGCGGGGGGACUUGCCAGACCCAGAUGUCCUGAAGGUCGACGAGGCAUACCAGGACUUCAUGGCAGACCUUGCACCAUUAAUCACCACGCUCUCCAUAAGUCCUGGUGUCCCCCUCGUCAAUUCCACUUUUGGGAGCGUUCAAGAUGGAAGCCCUAUUUCUUAUCAGCACCCUGUGCCAGUGAGUAGGGUCAUCAUCCACCACCCAGACGCACCCUCUCCACCCCCACUGCCGUUACAUGGUCACAGGCUGGACCCAAGCACAUGUUCCUUUGUGUGCACUC
Long non-coding RNA from Gadus macrocephalus (Pacific cod), 583 nucleotides. RefSeq lists it as uncharacterized. The record is from RefSeq and is a predicted model, not a curated record. The transcript has 3 exons. Lineage: Eukaryota; Metazoa; Chordata; Actinopteri; Gadiformes; Gadidae.